RNAcentral lists this ribosomal RNA (1661 nucleotides) under human gut metagenome. Its description in RNAcentral is "bacterial LSU rRNA". It matches the Rfam family "Bacterial large subunit ribosomal RNA", at positions 826 to 2505 of the family's 2925-position model. The record is from RNAcentral.
AUUCCAAUCGAACUCGGAGAUAGCUGGUUCUCCCCGAAAUAGCUUUAGGGCUAGCCUCGAUUUAGAUUAUUGGGGGUAGAGCACUGAAUGGGCUAGGGGGCCACAAAGCUUACUGAACCCUAUCAAACUGCGAAUACCAAUUAAUUGAUGAUCGGGAGUCAGACAGUGAGAGAUAAGUUCCAUUGUCGAAAGGGAAACAGCCCAGAUCCACGACUAAGGUCCCAAAAUACACGUUAAGUGGAAAAGGAUGUGCAGUUGCACAGACAACCAGGAUGUUGGCUUAGAAGCAGCCACUCAUUCAAAGAGUGCGUAAUAGCUCACUGGUCGAGUGAAUGUGCGCCGAAAAUAUACCGGGGCUAAACGUGAUACCGAAGUCUGGGGAUCAAGAAAUUGAUCGGUAGGGGAGCAACGCAUACGGACAGAAGCAGAAGCGGGAGCGACUGUGGACUGUAUGGGAGAGAGAAUGCCGGCAUGAGUAGCGAGAGCAAAGUGAGAAUCUUUGCCGUCGAAAGCCUAAGGUUUCCUGAGGAAGGCUCGUCCUCUCAGGGUAAGUCGGGACCUAAGCCGAGGACAAGAGUCGUAGGCGAUGGACAACAGGUUGAUAUUCCUGUACCGUACUUAAGCGUUUGACUGAAGCAGUGACACAGAAGGAUAGACAGACCGGGGGAAUGGUAGACUCCGGCCAAGCAGUGAGGCUGACAUGUAGUGAAGUACGCAUGUUAAGGCUGGGCUGUGAUGGGGACUGAAGAUUAGUAAGGAAGCUGUUGAAUUCACACUGGCGAGAAAAGCUGCUAAGGAGCGAGAGUAUGCCCGUACCGCAAACCGACACAGGUAGGCGAGGAGAGAAUCCUAAGACGAGCGGGAGAACCCUUGUUAAGGAACUCGGCAAAAUGACUCCGUAACUUAGGGAGAAGGAGUGCCCAGGAAUGGGCCGCAGAGAAUAGACCCAAGCGACUGUUUACCAAAAACACAGGUCUGUGCGAAGUAGAGAUACGACGUAUACGGGCUGACACCUGCCCAGUGCCGGAAGGUUAAGGGGAAAUGUUAGGGCAACCGAAGCAUGGAACUUAAGCCCCGGUGAACGGCGGCCGUAACUAUAACGGUCCUAAGGUAGCGAAAUUCCUUGUCGGGUAAGUUCCGACCCGCACGAAUGGUGUAACGAUUUGGGUACUGUCUCAACAAGGGACCCGGCGAAAUUGUAGUAUGUGUGAAGAUGCACAUUACCCGCGAUAGGACGGAAAGACCCCGUAGAGCUUUACUGUAGUUUAACAUUGGAUUUUGAUAACACAUGUACAGGAUAGGUGGGAGGCUGAGAAACCGGCACGCCAGUGCCGAUGGAGCCGCUGUUGGGAUACCACUCUUGUGUUAUUGGAGUUCUAACGAAGUGCCGUAAACCGGGCUUCGGACAGUGUUAGAUGGGCAGUUUGACUGGGGCGGUCGCCUCCGAAAGAGUAACGGAGGCGUCCAAAGGUUCCCUCAGAAUGGUUGGAAACCAUUCACAGAGUGCAAAGGCAGAAGGGAGCUUGACUGCGAGACCGACAGGUCGAGCAGGUACGAAAGUAGGGCUUAGUGAUCCGGCGGUAUGAGAGUGGAAUUGCCGUCGCUCAACGGAUAAAAGCUACCUCGGGGAUAACAGGCUGAUCUCCCCCAAGAGUCCACAU